RNAcentral lists this ribosomal RNA (770 nucleotides) under uncultured Neocallimastigales. RNAcentral's name for it is "partial large subunit ribosomal RNA". The stretch from base 3 to 660 matches the Rfam family "Eukaryotic large subunit ribosomal RNA", at positions 24 to 664 of the family's 3401-position model. The record is from RNAcentral. Lineage: Eukaryota; Fungi; Neocallimastigomycota; Neocallimastigomycetes; Neocallimastigales.
UACACGCUGUGACUAGCAUAUCAAUAAGCGGAGGAAAAGAAACUAACAAGGAUUCCCUCAGUAACGGCGAGUGAAGCGGGAAGAGCUCAAAUUUGAAAUCUUGAAAGGUCACCUUUCACGAAUUGUAGUUUAAAGAAGUGUUUUCUGUUACGAUCGUAAUAUAAGUUCUUUGGAAUAGGACAUCACAGAGGGUGAGAAUCCCGUCUAUGAUUGCGAUUUGUAGCUUUGUGAUACACUUUCAAAGAGUCGGGUUGUUUGGGAAUGCAGCCCAAAACGGGAGGUAAAUUUCUUCUAAGGCUAAAUAUUGGCGAGAGACCGAUAGCGAACAAGUACCGUGAGGGAAAGAUGAAAAGAACUUCGAAAAGAGAGUUAAAUAGUACGUGAAAUUGUCAAAAGGGAAGCGUUUAACACCAGUGUUGUUUUCUGAAAAUCAACCUCUGUUAGCUUUAUGCAUGUUUGUUUAGACCUAAUCAGCUAUCUUUCAUGUUCUAUUGUUUGCAGUGGUGCACUUUUCAGUUUACAGGUCAACAUCAGUUUUUUUUACCGUAAAAAAGUUAAAGAAAGGUAGCUCAUGGCUCCGGUCGUGAGUGUUAUAGUCUUUUUCCUAUGCGGUAGGAGAGACUGAGGUCUGCAGUGUAGGCUAUUUGGCUAGAUACUCAGGUGUUAUGUGAUACCAUUUCAUAAACAACUUGUUGAUUAUGUUUUGUCUAUUGCAUACUCGCUUGUACUAUCAUACCUACGCUUAGGAUGUUGAGUAGCGACAUACGCAC